RNAcentral lists this ribosomal RNA (497 nucleotides) under uncultured bacterium. RNAcentral describes it as "partial 16S ribosomal RNA". It matches the Rfam family "Bacterial small subunit ribosomal RNA", at positions 28 to 507 of the family's 1533-position model. The record is from RNAcentral.
GAUGAACGCUGGCGGCGUGCCUAAUACAUGCAAGUCGAACGAACAGACGAGGAGCUUGUCUCUCGGACGAUAGCGGCGGGAGGGUGGGCAACACGUGGAGAAACUCCCUAUUAACCUGGGAUAAAUUCGGGAAACCGGAGCGGAUACGAGAUAAUAUAUUGUACCACACGAUUCAAUCAUAAAAUACGGUUGUCCAGUUGCUAAUAGAUGGAUCUGGGCGUCAUUAGCUAGUGGGUAAGGUAACGGCGUACCAUGGCAACGGUGCGUAGCCGACCUCAGAGGGUGAUCGGCGACGCCGGAACGGGAGAACGGUCCAGACUCCUACGGGAGGCAGCAGUAGGGAACUUUCCGCAAUGGGCGAAGGCCUGACGGAGCAACGCCGGGUGAGUGAUUAAGGUCUUCGGGUCGUAAGACUCUGUUAUUCGGGAAGAACAAAUGUGUAAGUAACUAUGCACGUCUUGACGGUACCUUAUCAGAAAGCCACGGCUAACUACGUG